This 253-nucleotide ribosomal RNA is filed under the name uncultured bacterium. RNAcentral's name for it is "partial 16S ribosomal RNA". It matches the Rfam family "Bacterial small subunit ribosomal RNA", at positions 524 to 776 of the family's 1533-position model. The record is from RNAcentral.
UACGUAGGGGGCUAGCGUUGUCCGGAAUCAUUGGGCGUAAAGCGCGCGUAGGCGGCCCGGUAAGUCCGCUGUGAAAGUCAAAGGCUCAACCUUUGAAUGUCAGCGGAUACUGCCGGGCUAGAGUCCGGAAGAGGCGAGUGGAAUUCCUGGUGUAGCGGUGGAAUGCGCAGAUAUCAGGAGGAACACCGGUGGCGAAGGCGGAUCUCUGGGCCAUUACUGACGCUGAGGAGCGAAAGCGUGGGGAGCGAACAGG